This 468-nucleotide ribosomal RNA is filed under the name uncultured bacterium. RNAcentral's name for it is "partial 16S ribosomal RNA". It matches the Rfam family "Bacterial small subunit ribosomal RNA", at positions 28 to 507 of the family's 1533-position model. The record is from RNAcentral.
GACGAACGCUGGCGGCGUGCUUAACACAUGCAAGUCGAACGGAAAGGCCCUGCUUUUGUGGGGUGCUCGAGUGGCGAACGGGUGAGUAACACGUGAGUAACCUGCCCUUGACUUUGGGAUAACUUCAGGAAACUGGGGCUAAUACCGGAUAGGAGCUCCUGCUGCAUGGUGGGGGUUGGAAAGUUUCGGCGGUUGGGGAUGGACUCGCGGCUUAUCAGCUUGUUGGUGGGGUAGUGGCUUACCAAGGCUUUGACGGGUAGCCGGCCUGAGAGGGUGACCGGCCACCUUGGGACUGAGAUACGGCCCAGACUCCUACGGGAGGCAGCAGUGGGGAAUAUUGCACAGUGGGCGGAAGCCUGAUGCAGCAACGCCGCGUGCGGGAUGACGGCCUUCGGGUUGUAAACCGCUUUCGCCUGUGACGAAGCGUGAGUGACGGUAAUGGGUAAAGAAGCACCGGCUAACUACGUG